Molecule: ribosomal RNA, 1990 nt
Filed under: human metagenome
Description: bacterial LSU rRNA
Rfam family: Bacterial large subunit ribosomal RNA
Source: RNAcentral
UCAAGUGAAUAAGUGCAUGUGGUGGAUGCCUUGGCGAUUACAGGCGAUGAAGGACGUUGUAGCCUGCGAAAAGCCGCGGGGAGCUGGCAAACAAGCUUUGAUCCGCGGAUGUCCGAAUGGGGAAACCCACCCGCAAGGGUAUCGCUGACUGAAUUCAUAGGUCAGCGAGGCGAACGUGGCGAACUGAAACAUCUAAGUAGCCACAGGAAAAGAAAUCAACCGAGAUUCCGAAAGUAGUGGCGAGCGAAAUCGGAGCAGCCUGUGCGUGAUAGUCGAUUGGCUAGUGGAACGGUAUGGAAAGGCCGGCCAUAGAGGGUGAUAGCCCCUUACACGAAAGCGAAUCGGUGGUACUGAGCGUACGACAAGUAGGGCGGGACACGUGUAAUCCUGUCUGAAGAUGGGGGGACCAUCCUCCAAGGCUAAAUACUCGUAAUCGACCGAUAGUGAACAAGUACUGUGAAGGAAAGGCGAAAAGAACCCCGGGAGGGGAGUGAAAUAGAUCCUGAAACCGCAUGCAUACAAACAGUCGGAGCCUCGCAAGGGGUGACGGCGUACCUUUUGUAUAAUGGGUCAGCGACUUACGUUCAGUGGCAAGCUUAACCAGAUAGGGGAGGCGCAGGGAAACCGAGUCCGAAUAGGGCGCCAUAGUCGCUGGGCGUAGACCCGAAACCAGGUGAUCUAUCCAUGGUCAGGAUGAAGGUUGGGUAACACCAGCUGGAGGUCCGAACCGACUAAUGUUGCAAAAUUAGCGGAUGAACUGUGGAUAGGGGUGAAAGGCUAAUCAAACCUGGAAAUAGCUGGUUCUCCCCGAAAACUAUUUAGGUAGUGCGUCAUGUAUUGCUCCAGGGGGUAGAGCACUGUAAUGGUUGUGGGGGCCAUCGCGGCUUACCACGCCAUAGCAAACUCCGAAUACCUGGAAGUAUGAGCAUGGCAGACAGUCGCCGGGUGCUAACGUCCGGCGGCAAGAGGGAAACAACCCAGACCUACAGCUAAGGUCCCAAAGUGUGGCUAAGUGGGAAACGAAGUGGGAAGGCUAAAACAGUCAGGAUGUUGGCUUAGAAGCAGCCAUCAUUUAAAGAAAGCGUAAUAGCUCACUGAUCGAGUCGUCCUGCGCGGAAGAUGUAACGGGGCUAAGCCAUGCACCGAAGCUUAGGCUGCACUCUCUGAGUGCGGGGUAGGGGAGCGUUCUGUAAGCCUGUGAAGGUGUCUCGUAAGGGAUGCUGGAGGUAUCAGAAGUGCGAAUGCUGACAUGAGUAGCGUUAAAGCGGGUGAAAAGCCCGCUCGCCGUAAGCGCAAGGUUUCCUACGCAACGUUCAUCGGCGUAGGGUGAGUCGGCCCCUAAGGUGAGGGCGAAAGCCAUAGCUGAUGGGAAGCUGGUUAAUAUUCCAGCACCGAUUUCUAGUGCGAUGGGGGGACGGAUCGUGGAAGGUUGUCCGGGUGUUGGAAGUCCCGGUUCCUGACCUGUAGGUGUCUGGUAGGUAAAUCCGCCAGGCGUAUGCCGAGGGGUUGGGACGAGCGAGCUUGCUCGCGAAGCAACUGGAAGUGGUUCCAAGAAAAGCCUCUAAGCUUCAGCUAGAAACGACCGUACCGCAAACCAACACUGGUGCGCGAGAUGAGUAUUCUCAGGCGCUUGAGAGAACUCGGGAGAAGGAACUCGGCAAAUUGACACCGUAACUUCGGAAGAAGGUGUGCCUUGGUAGCUUGAGUGUGAACAACACAAGGGCGAAGAGGUUGCAAAGAAUAGGUGGCUGCGACUGUUUAUUAAAAACACAGCACUCUGCAAACACGAAAGUGGACGUAUAGGGUGUGACGCCUGCCCGGUGCCGGAAGGUUAAGUGAUGGGGUGCAAGCUCUUGAUCGAAGCCCCGGUAAACGGCGGCCGUAACUAUAACGGUCCUAAGGUAGCGAAAUUCCUUGUCGGGUAAGUUCCGACCUGCACGAAUGGCGUAACGAUGGCCACACUGUCUCCUCCCGAGACUCAGCGAAGUUG